This 1190-nucleotide long non-coding RNA is filed under the name Homo sapiens (human). RNAcentral's name for it is "HSALNT0350901". Lineage: Eukaryota; Metazoa; Chordata; Mammalia; Primates; Hominidae. The record is from RNAcentral.
GCAAUUCUCCUGCCUCAGCCUCCCAAGUAGCUGGGAUUACAGAUCAUCUCUCUACUGACCUUUUAGUGGCUUAGCAUUUUGUUGCAAUGCACAAGUGAAGUUGGGAAACAGAGCCAAGUGACAAGCUGUGAAGUAACAGCUCAGCCUUCACAAAGCAAAUGUGCUUUGUGCACUUCCUUGCCAGAGCAGAUGUGGCCUUGGUGGACUGUGGGGAGCAUCAUCUCUCAGGUAAAAAUAAAUUACUAAGAUUAGGACCAAAUGAUGCAAAUCCUUUCAUUUGCAAACAGAUCAUGAACUGGCAGCCAUGUGGAAAGAAGACUAGACUGCGAAUCACUUAGGAUCCCACCCUCGGUUUAGUCUAGAAUACUCUGCGAAUCAGCUUUUUGGCCCUAGGUAGGAAAGAGACAAAUGGAAGCAAAAUAGCAAAAUGGUGAAGAGGAGGGUUCUAGAGGCAGAGAGCCCUGCAGUCCUGAGUCCUGAGUCCACCGUUUAACAGAGUGACUUUGCUCAGCCUGUGGAUUAUAAUGAAACUUGCCUGUUAUAGGAUCCAGUUUUUUAGGUGGUAGCAACAUGCUCAAGGAAGAUGCAGCCCCUUCCUCCAGCCUGAGAGAAUAAAGCAUCAUUGGCUUAUGCCAACCAUGGCAAUCCCAUUCCCCUUUUCUCAUGAUUGAUUUGGGAAUGGGCAAGUGACCCAGUUCUAACCAAUGAGACGAAAGAAAAAGUCUAUUGGUCAGCUUAUCUCAGAAGAUUUUUGUUUCCUGCUAUAAAGAGAAACAGUAAGUUCCUUCCUGCCUGACUUAAAUGCAAUUGUGUGCAAACAUGUUACUUGGAGCUACAGCAACGAUUCUGUGACCAUGAGGCAAUAAGCCAAGGACAAAGGAUAGAAUAGUGAAAAGACAGAGUAUUGGAUUUUUUUUAUGAUAUCAUUGAACUGCUGGACCAAUGUGGAACCAUCUACUUUUAGUCUUUCAUGAUUUGUGAGAUGAUUAAACAUUUCUUUUUUUUAGCCAUUAUUUCUUUUCUGUUACUUGCAACUGAAGACAUCCUACAUAAUACAAACACUAUCCAACUUGGAUUGUAAUUUAUCUAUUUUCAGAUCUGUGUGUUCUGUCUUACUGAUUUUUGUAUUCUUAGCACUGAGUAUAAGGCUGCUACUUAGUAAGACUUCAAUAAAUGACUGUUUAAAAAGG